Clupea harengus (Atlantic herring) is the source of this 2076-nucleotide long non-coding RNA. RefSeq lists it as uncharacterized. The record is from RefSeq and is a predicted model, not a curated record. Lineage: Eukaryota; Metazoa; Chordata; Actinopteri; Clupeiformes; Clupeidae. The transcript has 2 exons.
GUGUGUCUGUGUGUGUAUGCUCAUGUGCUUGUGUUUGUGUGUGUGUGUGUAUGUGUUGAAGAGAGUGAAAGUGUGUGUGUAUGUGUGUGUGUGUGUGUUGUUUGAGGGUAGCACACGGGGUCAUCUUCAGGCAGUAACCCCCCAGGAGGCUCCUUCUCAGAGCCCCCCCCUCUAUGCACUGCAACAGCACUCUCAUCCCGACUGCGCCUUGUUCUUAUUCGAGAUCGCCUCAAUAUUAAAGACUUUCACUUUUGAAGUUUUAUUUUUUUGUUUUUGAAUUUUUUGUUGUUGAUUUUUUAAAGCGUUUGUACCCCCUCCACUCUUCUCCACUGCUGGAAGAUGGAACUGUUACCAAGCUCCUGAAUGGAAGUAGGGAAAGAUUGCGCCCUCUGAGCAAUAGACUUCCUCUCCAGGUGUUACAAAAUUACUGACAGUUUUUCUCUUGUAUACACUCCUGUAUUUAUCCUCCUAUCCUCCUCACUACCAUAUCUGCUUUUCUUAUGUACACUUGUAUAUGUGCAUAAUGUCCGGAAGCCCCACCACUCCUUUGCUCCUAUUUUGUCCACCUUUGCUCCAUAUCCUCUCUCUUGAGGGCAAGAGGGAACAGGUCACAUGGUACAGAGUCAGGUGGAUGCUUGGAGGACACCUUGUAAAGUGUUAUUCUUUUUGUUUUUCAUUUUCUUUUCUUUUUUUCAUGUCAGUGUGGCUGCUACUGAUCUUUUUUGAAAUGCUGUGAAGGAAAGGACAAUCCACUUCCAAACAAUAAUAAUAUUAAUAAUAAUAAUAGUCUUGACAGUAUGGACUGGGUUGUCCUUGAUUUCAUGCCAUUGAACAACAUGGAAAGAAUGUUUGGAGAAAAAAAAAACACUAUCUGUAUAUUUUUAUAUAUGAUGCAAUAUAGAGAAUGUACUAUACAGUGGUGCUGAAAAUGACCCCCUACUGUUUUCAGUUAAUUUAAAUGGUUUUUAAAAAGAAAGGGUAUUUAUGCUUACAGCUGAUAAUGUGAUAUAAGUCGCACACUUUUUAACAGUUGCAGUCAAAAAUAUUAAAUAAAACUUAUACAUAUAAACAUGUUUGUCUUCCUCAUAAAACAUUGGACAUGCAACACGUCUUUGACUUUGAUCUAGCUCAGGGUUAUAAAUGUCAGACAGACGCUGGUAUUUCCCUGCACUUCAUUACUUUAUUGUGAAACUGUCUCAUAGAUUGUAUAGUUAAAGGCUGAACUGUGACCACCACCCUUCUAUAUAAACAAAACGUCAGUUUCUCAGGAAUCGAUUUAUGGCUAUUCGUCAACAGUUCGUUAGGUCACAACACAGUUACACACACCUUUUACUUUAUCAGCCAGUCUCCCAAGAUAUAGCCCAGUUCACUACCCAUUGGUUAUUCAUGUAGUCAGAAAUAUGACUGGGUUGGUGCGCACUUCCCAUGGUCACGUCUGAACAACGUGUAUGGUCUCUUAUGAACUCAUACUUUAACUUAUAUCAUCAAUCAAGUAAGACCGUAAAAUCGAGUUAAAAAUGGCUUCUACUCUAGCUGGACACCACUCCGGUUCAAUUUCGUUCAUUGUGCUUUUGGGAAGAAGAAAGUCCGGAAAGAGUUCAACGGGAAACACCAUCCUUGGAAGAGAGGAAUUUGAAACAGGGAAAAAAACAACAAUGGCGGAAAAAGUACUCGGUUUAGUAGACGAGCACCGCUUGGGUAUUGUAGACACUCCUGGUUGGAGUCUCUUGGGUCUUGCCAAUUCUGAGCAAGUGAAACAGGAGAUUUUGCGUAGUGCUCGCCUCACUUCUUAUGGCUUGCGGACCUACCUGUUGAUCAUUCCUGUUGAUUCAUUUAAGAAGAAAGACAGGCGUGCUGUGGAAGAACACGUCGAUCUCUUAGGUGACAGUACGUGGCCCCAUACCAUUGUGGUCUUUACGUGGGGUGAUCUGUUACGGGGCAAAAGCAUUGAGAAACACAUCGAACAAAUGGGGGAGCCUCUACAGUGGGUCCUACGCAAAUGCAACAACAGAUAUCAUGUCAUCAGUAAUAAAACCGCAUGUGACUGCUCUCAAGUCAGCCACCUGCUGCAGCUCA